Molecule: ribosomal RNA, 253 nt
Filed under: uncultured bacterium
Lineage: Bacteria
Description: partial 16S ribosomal RNA
Rfam family: Bacterial small subunit ribosomal RNA
Source: RNAcentral
UACGAAGGGUGCAAGCGUUACUCGGAAUUACUGGGCGUAAAGCGUGCGUAGGCGGUUUGUUAAGUCUGUUGUGAAAGCCCUGGGCUCAACCUGGGAAUUGCAGUGGAUACUGGCAAGCUAGAGUGCGGUAGAGGAUGGUGGAAUUCCCGGUGUAGCGGUGAAAUGCGCAGAUAUCAGGAAGAACACCCGUGGCGAAAGCGGCUCUCUGGAACGGUACUGACGCUGAGACGCGAAAGCGUGGGGAGCGAACAGG